UCCACGCAGUAAACGAUGAAUGUUAGUCGUCGGGGGCCUAGUGUCUUCGGUGAUGCAGCUAACGCAUUAAACAUUCCGCCUGGGGAGUACGGCCGCACUAUUGAAACUCAAAGGAAUUGACGGGGGCCCGCACAAGCGGUGGAGCAUGUGGUUUAAUUCGAUGAUACGCGAGGAACCUUACCUAGCCUUGACAUUGAAGAAACACACUAGAGAUAGAGUGGUGCCCUUCGGGG
RNAcentral lists this ribosomal RNA (233 nucleotides) under uncultured bacterium. RNAcentral describes it as "partial 16S ribosomal RNA". It matches the Rfam family "Bacterial small subunit ribosomal RNA", at positions 794 to 1025 of the family's 1533-position model. The record is from RNAcentral.